UAAAGAUUCAUCGCUGAUAGAUAGGCAUGCGUUCCAUUAGGCAGUUGGCGGGGUAACGGCCCACCAAACCGACGAUGGAUAGGGGUUCUGAGAGGAAGGUCCCCCACAUUGGUACUGAGACACGGACCAAACUCCUACGGGAGGCAGCAGUGAGGAAUAUUGGUCAAUGGGCGUAAGCCUGAACCAGCCAAGUCGCGUGAGGGAUGAAGGUUCUAUGGAUCGUAAACCUCUUUUAUAAGGGAAUAAAGUGUGGGACGUGUCCUGUUUUGUAUGUACCUUAUGAAUAAGGAUCGGCUAACUCCGUGCCAGCAGCCGCGGUAAUACGGAGGAUCCGAGCGUUAUCCGGAUUUAUUGGGUUUAAAGGGUGCGUAGGCGGCCUUUUAAGUCAGCGGUGAAAGUCUGUGGCUCAACCAUAGAAUUGCCGUUGAAACUGGGAGGCUUGAGUAUGUUUGAGGCAGGCGGAAUGCGUGGUGUAGCGGUGAAAUGCUUAGAUAUCACGCAGAACCCCGAUUGCGAAGGCAGCCUGCCAAGCCAUGACUGACGCUGAUGCACGAAAGCGUGGGGAUCAAACAGGAUUAGAUACCCUGGUAGUCCACGCAGUAAACGAUGGUCACUAGCUGUUUGCGAUACAGUGUAA
This 637-nucleotide ribosomal RNA is filed under the name uncultured bacterium. RNAcentral describes it as "bacterial SSU rRNA". It matches the Rfam family "Bacterial small subunit ribosomal RNA", at positions 202 to 842 of the family's 1533-position model. The record is from RNAcentral.